AUAACUACUGGAAACGGUGGCUAAUACCGCAUAACGUCGCAAGACCAAAGAGGGGGACCUUCGGGCCUCUUGCCAUCAGAUGUGCCCAGAUGGGAUUAGCUUGUUGGUGAGGUAACGGCUCACCAAGGCGACGAUCCCUAGCUGGUCUGAGAGGAUGACCAGCCACACUGGAACUGAGACACGGUCCAGACUCCUACGGGAGGCAGCAGUGGGGAAUAUUGCACAAUGGGCGCAAGCCUGAUGCAGCCAUGCCGCGUGUAUGAAGAAGGCCUUCGGGUUGUAAAGUACUUUCAGCGGGGAGG
RNAcentral lists this ribosomal RNA (302 nucleotides) under Salmonella enterica. RNAcentral's name for it is "bacterial SSU rRNA". It matches the Rfam family "Bacterial small subunit ribosomal RNA", at positions 143 to 447 of the family's 1533-position model. RNAcentral also lists the same sequence under 3 other names. The record is from RNAcentral. Lineage: Bacteria; Pseudomonadati; Pseudomonadota; Gammaproteobacteria; Enterobacterales; Enterobacteriaceae.